RNAcentral lists this ribosomal RNA (408 nucleotides) under bacterium Ellin5126. RNAcentral describes it as "bacterial SSU rRNA". It matches the Rfam family "Bacterial small subunit ribosomal RNA", at positions 28 to 441 of the family's 1533-position model. The record is from RNAcentral. Lineage: Bacteria; Bacillati; Actinomycetota; Actinomycetes; Micromonosporales; Micromonosporaceae.
GACGAACGCUGGCGGCGUGCUUAACACAUGCAAGUCGAGCGGAAAGGCCCUUCGGGGUACUCGAGCGGCGAACGGGUGAGUAACACGUGAGUAACCUGUCCUUGGCUUUGGGAUAACCCUCGGAAACGGGGGCUAAUACCGGAUACGACUCCUGCCUGCAUGGGUGGGGGUGGAAAGUUUUUCGGCUAGGGGUGGGCUCGCGGCCUAUCAGCUUGUUGGUGGGGUGAUGGCCUACCAAGGCGACGACGGGUAGCCGGCCUGAGAGGGCGACCGGCCACACUGGGACUGAGACACGGCCCAGACUCCUACGGGAGGCAGCAGUGGGGAAUAUUGCACAAUGGGCGGAAGCCUGAUGCAGCGACGCCGCGUGAGGGAUGACGGCCUUCGGGUUGUAAACCUCUUUCAGCA